This 74-nucleotide transfer RNA is filed under the name Chloroflexi bacterium RBG_13_46_9. RNAcentral describes it as "tRNA-Ala". It matches the Rfam family "tRNA". From Rfam's summary of the family: Transfer RNA (tRNA) molecules are approximately 80 nucleotides in length. Their secondary structure includes four short double-helical elements and three loops (D, anti-codon, and T loops). The record is from RNAcentral. Lineage: Bacteria; Bacillati; Chloroflexota.
GGGGCUGUAGCUCAAUUGGCUAGAGCACCUCAUUUGCAAUGAGGAGGUUGGUGGUUCGAUUCCACUCAGCUCCA